RNAcentral lists this ribosomal RNA (1343 nucleotides) under uncultured bacterium. RNAcentral's name for it is "16S ribosomal RNA". It matches the Rfam family "Bacterial small subunit ribosomal RNA", at positions 28 to 1378 of the family's 1533-position model. The record is from RNAcentral.
GACGAACGCUGGCGGCGUGCUUAACACAUGCAAGUCGAACGGAAAGGCCCUGCUUUUGUGGGGUGCUCGAGUGGCGAACGGGUGAGUAACACGUGAGUAACCUGCCCUUGACUUUGGGAUAACUUCAGGAAACUGGGGCUAAUACCGGAUAGGAGCUCCUGCUGCAUGGUGGGGGUUGGAAAGUUUCGGCGGUUGGGGAUGGACUCGCGGCUUAUCAGCUUGUUGGUUGGGUAGUGGCUUACCAAGGCUUUGACGGGUAGCCGGCCUGAGAGGGUGACCGGCCACAUUGGGACUGAGAUACGGCCCAGACUCCUACGGGAGGCAGCAGUGGGGAAUAUUGCACAAUGGGCGGAAGCCUCAUGCAGCAACGCCGCGUGCGGGAUGACGGCCUUCGGGUUGUAAACCGCUUUCGCCUGUGACGAAGCGUGAGUGACGGUAAUGGGUAAAGAAGCACCGGCUAACUACGUGCCAGCAGCCGCGGUGAUACGUAGGGUGCGAGCGUUGUCCGGAUUUAUUGGGCGUAAAGGGCUCGUAGGUGGUUGAUCGCGUCGGAAGUGUAAUCUUGGGGCUUAACCCUGAGCGUGCUUUCGAUACGGGUUGACUUGAGGAAGGUAGGGGAGAAUGGAAUUCCUGGUGGAGCGGUGGAAUGCGCAGAUAUCAGGAGGAACACCAGUGGCGAAGGCGGUUCUCUGGGCCUUUCCUGACGCUGAGGAGCGAAAGCGUGGGGAGCGAACAGGCUUAGAUACCCUGGUAGUCCACGCUGUAAACGGUGGGUACUAGGUGUGGGGUCCAUUCCACGGGUUCCGUGCCGUAGCUAACGCUUUAAGUACCCCGCCUGGGGAGUACGGCCGCAAGGCUAAAACUCAAAGGAAUUGACGGGGCCCCGCACAAGCGGCGGAGCAUGCGGAUUAAUUCGAUGCAACGCGUAGAACCUUACCUGGGUUUGACAUGGAUCGGGAGUGCUCAGAGAUGGGUGUGCCUCUUUUGGGGUCGGUUCACAGGUGGUGCAUGGCUGUCGUCAGCUCGUGUCGUGAGAUGUUGGGUUAAGUCCCGCAACGAGCGCAACCCUUGUUCACUGUUGCCAGCACGUUAUGGUGGGGACUCAGUGGAGACCGCCGGGGUCAACUCGGAGGAAGGUGGGGAUGACGUCAAGUCAUCAUGCCCCUUAUGUCCAGGGCUUCACGCAUGCUACAAUGGCUGGUACAGAGAGUGGCGAGCCUGUGAGGGUGAGCGAAUCUCGGAAAGCCGGUCUCAGUUCGGAUUGGGGUCUGCAACUCGACCUCAUGAAGUCGGAGUCGCUAGUAAUCGCAGAUCAGCAACGCUGCGGUGAAUACGUUCCCGGG